UCCGACCUCAGAUCGGACGAGAUUACCCGCUGAAUUUAAGCAUAUCACUAAGCGGAGGAAAAGAAACUAACAAGGAUUCCCUCAGUAACGGCGAGUGAAGCGGGAUGAGCCCAGCACCGAAUCCCCCAGCAUGUCGCUGGCGGGAACUGUGGUGUAUGGGACGCCACCUGUCGAAUGCACCGGUGUCCGAAGUCCUCCUGAUCGGGGCCUCUCCCAGAGUGGGUGUCAGGCCUUUACAGGCCGCUGGUGCGUCGGCUGCGAGCGUCUCCGGAGUCGGGUUGUUUGGGAAUGCA
RNAcentral lists this ribosomal RNA (293 nucleotides) under Buccinum striatissimum. RNAcentral's name for it is "partial 28S rRNA". It matches the Rfam family "Eukaryotic large subunit ribosomal RNA", at positions 1 to 284 of the family's 3401-position model. The record is from RNAcentral. Lineage: Eukaryota; Metazoa; Mollusca; Gastropoda; Neogastropoda; Buccinidae.